AGCACAGGCUCGCUGGGCUCUGCUCGCCUCACCUCCCGCCUCACCGCCCGCCGCUAGCCCUCCUAAGAGGAUUGCCUUUCCUUUAAUAUCCGCGCCGGCUCAUCCCGGCUGCGGCGAUCCGCCGUGCUGCGGCCGCGGUGUGACAGGCGCCGCUGGUGACAGGAGCCCCCGGGGCCGGGGUGCUGCCGCGGCCCGCCCCUCAGCGGCUGCUGCGGCUUUGGGGAGCUUCUCCCCAAAAUGUCACGAGCGAUGUGAGGCUGGUCCGAAUGUUCUGCAGCUGAUGAUCGCGUGUGCAGCUGCUCGGGAAAGUCAGGACCGGUUCUAGCGUUAUUGUAGCCUGGAAACGAGCAGCGGGAGAAGUCGUGGAGGAUUUGCAGGAGUUCCUCACUAAAGACCAGGGCCACUGUUUUGUUCAGUUUCAUUAGUGAAAGCUGACAGGUAUAAAUGUUCUCCUGUGUAGCUUUUGGGUGUCUCGGAACAGGAUCAUAGAUACAGAUAUCAGGCCCAGCAGAAGAGCAUUUGUGUAUGCCCAUACGUAGCAGCCGUGUCUGCUGUUAGUACAGUUUGCAAUAAAGCUGUUGCCAGCACUAAUUUUGCGGACAUAGUUGUCCGUAAGUGUAGCAAGUAAUCUGUUCUAAGGGUUAAUGAAACCUUUAUACCCUUCCAGCAUAUAUCCUGUGUUGUUAUGCAGCUUAGGUAAUAGGGCUCUGGCACAUUAAGAAAGAUUAUUUUAUGAGCAUAUUUCUUAUACUUCACUGCAUAUAAAUCCUCACUUUCUUUUUGGCCACACAUUGAAUUCUGUGAUGCUCCUGUGACAGAAAAUGCAACAAUUAAUAUGUAGAAAAGUCUUACACAUAAUUGUGUUAUUAUUUAAGAAUCUACUAGUUGAGGCUAUCACAGACUAGUGGUUAAUUUUCUCUUUUAAAUACUCCUGUCUGGCUCACCAGAUUAUAAACUGCUAGACUUAUCAACACCAAAGUCAUGAUGCGUUUCCAUUCUUGCAGGUUUGGACUGCAACUGUUUUCAGAUAAAACACGUAAAUCCUCUUUAAUAGUUCAAAGAGAUCUGAUGACACUGUGGUGUGAGUUGACUUGAGUUCAUAGUUGGAGUAGAAGCCUAAAAAUACUGUUUGUUUCCUUGUGUCUUUGUCAGUGUGGUUAUGAUUAACCAUCUGGAAAAGCACUGGUGCGAGUUGUAAUCACAUCAUGUACUGCCUCAAGCUGUGUCUGUUUCAGUGUGGGGGUCCUGCAUGCAGAAGUGUGUGGGCAUACCAGAGGGAGCACCUUAAUGUGAAUACUGAGAUAGCCUGUACCUCUCAAAGACAGCUCAUGCACCAGCCCCGGGACAGGUGCUGUGGGUGCAAAUUGGAGAUGCUGUUGGGCUCUGACAGAUGGUUGCUCUACCUCCACUUUGGUGAUCAACUGUGCUAACAAGGGGGAAAUUUGUCUGGUUUGAUUUUCAUGUGCUGCAGUCAGGCAUCUGGCAAUUUUGGCUUCCUUAUAGUAUCUGUGCUAGUAAUUUCUUGUGUCAGUGGUCUAAAAGUUGCUUAUUUACAAGAUGUUAGUGACCUUACACAGAGUAGGUCACAAUACCAUGUAACUCUGUAUCCUUGCCUCCUCCUUUCUGGCACAUGUGUUGUUAUUGCAUGAGCUGUGCAUGUGUACUCUUUCAUGUCUACAUUUCUGGUUAGCUUGGAGUCCAUUUAUGUCUAUACCACAUAAAAUCCUUCAUGAUUUUUGCUGAAACUUUACUCAAAAAAAAAAAAAAGUCCCCAAAUGGGAACUACUGAGUUUUGUUUAUUUGUUUUGCGUACUUGACGGCAAGUAAAUUUUGUCUAGGAGUUGGAAAUGUAUGAUUUGUCUGAUUGAUGGUGUGAAUAGGAUGGCAUUGUAACAGGUGUGUAAUAUCACAGCGGCUUAAAGAGGUUUUAAAUAUAUUGAGUUGUUUUAAUCUUGAUGCUUAUAUUGGAUUUGUGCACCUUCAGUUUACUGAAUGUGUUCUUAUAGAUCAAUGUUUUCAUAAAGCAUUUUUACAUCGCUUUCUAUUAUUUAUUGAUGCAACACAUGUAAAAAACAUGGCGUGACUCUAAAAUGUAGACUUUAAUUUUGGAUUUCAGUAAAGCUUUUGAUACUGUUUUUCACAGGAUCCUGCUGGAUAAAAUGUCCAGCCCCACAGCUGGAUAAACACAUCAUGCAGCAGGGCUGACCAAAGUUAAAGCAUGGCUUUAGGAGCACUGUCCAAAUGCCUCUUCAGCAUUGGCACAAGCUGGGCAUGGUCAGGGAAGGCAACAACCACCUCUCCAGGAUGCCUGUUCCAGGUUUCUAGAUCAUUUCUAGAUAAUGAAGUGUCAUGUCAAGUCUGGACCUCCCCUGAGGAAUGCUGUGAUUGGAACCAUUCCCCAGGAGGAAGAAGAGCUCAGCAUCUCCCUCAACACUUUGCUACUCAGGAAGCUGUAGGAAGCAGUGAACUCACCCCUCAGCCUCCUCCUCUCCAGACCAGACAAGCCCAGUGCCCUCAGCUGCUCCCCACAGCACAAUCCUACCAACCCCUCCCCUGCUUUGGUGCCCUUCUCAGGACACGUUCAAGUACCUUCACAUCCUUUUUUAAUGGUGGGGCCCAGCACUGCACACAGUACUCGAGGUGAGGCCGCACCAGUGCUGAAUUCAGCAGGAUAAUCACCUCCCUUGGCUGGUUGGUGGUGCUGUGUUUGAUGCACCCCAGGAUGAGGAUUGCUCUCCUGACUACCAGGGCACACACACUGCUGAUCCCAGUGAGCUUCCUGCCAACCAGCACUCGAAACCCCUUUCUGCAGGGCUGCUCUCCAGUUCAGACUUGUGCCUGGAAUUACUACAUCCUGGGUGUAGAAUCCAGCAUUUGGUUGGUUUUGUUUUGUUUCAUAUCAUUGGUGACUGCUCAAUACUCCAGUCAAUCCAGAUCUCUCUGCAAGGCAAAGCCUCUUAUUCCAUGGGAGAGUCAGCAGCAUUUCCCAGUCUGGUAGCAUCAUCAAACUAUCUGAGCAUUCAACUGCAGCCUCCAGCUCAUUGAUAAAGGGAUGGAACAGAGCUGCCUCUAGAACAGAGCCCUGAGAAACACCACUGGUAACUGGUCACCAGCCAGAUGUCCUGUUUGCUGCAACAGUUUGAGCCCUGCUCUUCAACCAAUUCUUCCCUCAGUGCAUUGCAUACCUGCUCAUCCCACUGUUGGAAAACUUGCCUGGAAGGAGGCUUUGAGGGACAAUAUCAAAAGCCUUUCUAAACUGUGGAAAAAAGUAAAUCCACUGUGUUCACUUUAUCCAAGCAGGUGACCUUAUUGUAGAAGCUUAUUAAAUUAAACAAGACUUUGUGAACCCA
Molecule: long non-coding RNA, 3350 nt
Organism: Catharus ustulatus (Swainson's thrush)
Lineage: Eukaryota; Metazoa; Chordata; Aves; Passeriformes; Turdidae
Exons: 2
Source: RefSeq, a predicted model, not a curated record